Molecule: non-coding RNA, 27 nt
Filed under: Bombyx mori (domestic silkworm)
Lineage: Eukaryota; Metazoa; Arthropoda; Insecta; Lepidoptera; Bombycidae
Source: RNAcentral
CAAUGAAACAAACCUACUCAUUAGUAA